RNAcentral lists this non-coding RNA (93 nucleotides) under Labilithrix luteola. RNAcentral describes it as "TPP sequence". It matches the Rfam family "TPP riboswitch aptamer (THI element)". From Rfam's summary of the family: Vitamin B(1) in its active form thiamin pyrophosphate (TPP) is an essential coenzyme that is synthesised by coupling of pyrimidine and thiazole moieties in bacteria. Lineage: Bacteria; Pseudomonadati; Myxococcota; Polyangiales; Labilitrichaceae. The record is from Rfam by way of RNAcentral.
GCCGUUGCCAUGGGGUGCCGCCCACGCGGCUGAGAUGAUACCCAUCGACCUGAACUGGGUAAUGCCAGCGGAGGGACGGCGCAUGAUCGACAC